This 400-nucleotide ribosomal RNA is filed under the name uncultured bacterium. Its description in RNAcentral is "bacterial SSU rRNA". It matches the Rfam family "Bacterial small subunit ribosomal RNA", at positions 355 to 770 of the family's 1533-position model. The record is from RNAcentral.
UCAAGAAUCUUCCUCAAUGGCCGAAAGGCUGAAGGAGCGACGCCGCGUGCAUGAUGAAGCCCCUCGGGGUGUAAAGUGCUUUUAUUAGGGAAGAACAAAUGACGGUACCUAAUGAAUAAGGGGUUGCUAACCUCGUGCCAGCAGCAGCGGUAAUACGAGGACCCCUAGCGUUAUCCGGAUUUAUUGGGCGUAAAGGGUACGUAGGCGGCUGAUCACAUCUCCUGUCAAAUCCUGGGGCUUAACCUCAGGGCCGCGGGAGAGAUGGAUCGGCUAGAGGCCGGAAUAGGCACAUGGAAUUGCUGGUGUAGGGGUUAAAUCCGUUAAUAUCAGCAGGAACACCAAAUGCGAAGGCAGUGUGCUAGGACGGUCCUGACGCUAAGGUACGAAAGCGUGGGGAGCG